GCAAACUGCGGGGAGCUGCCCGCGGAAAGGUCCCUAAAGCAGCGCUGGAGCCGGGCUGCCUUCCUCUUGCUGAUGACCGGGUUCCUGUUUGAUCCUGUUUACAAGCUUCCCAAGACUGAAAAUAACCCCAGCUCCUCUGCACUGGCGCUUGGAAGCAGAAGGAAGCAAAGAGGAGUUGAGAACUGAAGCUGGGAGACUUGGCAGCUAAUUCAGAGGCACAAUUGUGUGAGCAGCCCCUUGGCAAGAGGACCCAGUGCAGCCUGUGACAGAACUGAGUGGAGAUGAUCCCAAGCUGAGAGUCACAACAGGAUCUGCUUUGAGUUCACCCAGCGACCUGCAGGCUCAUCCAGCACCCAGCACAGGUAAGAGAUCUCCACAGAACCUGCAUUCCCCAGGUGUUGUAGCAUCCCAGCCAUAACCCCUGCUCUGCAGUGC
RNAcentral lists this long non-coding RNA (435 nucleotides) under Zonotrichia albicollis (white-throated sparrow). RNAcentral describes it as "lncRNA (ENSZALG00000010427.1)". Lineage: Eukaryota; Metazoa; Chordata; Aves; Passeriformes; Passerellidae. The record is from RNAcentral.